UUUCACUCACUUGCUACCAUUAGAUAUUUGUCCUGGCAUCCUAGUCAGGAAGACAUUAGCUAGGCCUAAUUGCUCAGACUGUAUUUAACGGACAGCCUGUGCUAUCAGAUAGCUCUAGAAAGAAAACAACAGAAGGCUUAACAUGCAACUCUAGGAAUGCCAGGUAUGUAGUCAUAAAAUCGAAUAAUUUCAGAGCAAGGAGAGCCUCAGAUGAGCCGCUAAUCAUCUCCAUGGCCUGAAACAAAGGAGCCAUGUUAGGACACAACAAGAAAAUGGGCCAUCAAGCCAGGGAAAUAGGUCUCACCAGACACCAACCCUGUUGGCUCUUCCAACUUGGACUUCCAGCCUCCAGAACGCGAAGAGAUCUGAAGAGUCCAUUCCUCUGAACAUCAGUUUUUCAUCUAUAAAAAGAGAAUGAAAGUACAUGGUCUGGCCACCUCCCAGGAUUGUUAUAAGGAUCAAAUGAGAUCAUAAUCUAUGUGAAAGUACUGUUGGUGCCGGUGAUGUUAUUUAACACUCAGCUGGACUAUUUUGUUGAUGAGGAGGCUGAAAUUCAGGGAGGCGACCUCAGCUGCAGCAAAGAAAUAAACGGCAGAAGUGGGAUUUACAGAAGGGCCGUGUGACGCUCAGAGUCCAUGGUCAUGCCAGCGCUGCGACCCAGUCCUAGCCCUGGAGGACGAGCAGUCCUUUUCUCGAUCUACACAAGACAUUACUACAGCGUCUUCAUGCACCCCAAGCCAUGAACACCACCACCCCCAAAGUUAGGUCUGUCCUGUGCCAUAACUUUGCCCUGCCUCCUCUUCUCUGCCUUAUUCUCUUGGACAGCAGGAGGGCUGGCCCCAACCCCAAUCUGAGCUUGCUUGAUCCUAGCCGGCUUCCUGCCAAGAGCUCAGCCCCCUGCUCCCCCAGAGCUCAGGUCUCUCCUGCCUGACUUGGAGGCAGCAUGGAGCAGUACAGAAGCGCUUAUACACAGGCUCUCUUCUAUGUGGCCCAGUUUCCUUAUCUAUGAAAUGGAGGUAAUACUAUCUCCUCCUAAGGUUGAAUGAAAUCAUCUAUGUCAAGUGCUCAGCACAGGGCAUGUCUCCUGAGGUGGGGGAGGGGGGAGCUCCCAUCUGCCUGUAUCCCUCAAGACUGCACUUAGACCACCCUCCCUGCAGAGCCUUGGAGAGUCACUUGGAUUUGUAAGCUCCUUGGAUGCUGUACACUACCAGGUCCAGGGCCACGUCUGAAACCAAGCCAGUUUCUUCAGUCCACAUCCUAUCAGCCAAGGGGGCAGGGUUCUACUUUUCCUCCUGACAACCUUGACUGAGAUCCCAGCAUGCCCACUCCUGUUGCCACACUUCAGAACAGGACCACUCAACAGAAUUUUCUGGGGUGAUGGAACUGUUCUAGAUCUGUGCUGCCCAAAAUGGAAGCCAGUGGCCACGAGUGGCUAUUGAGAAGUUGAAAUGUGGUAAGUGUGACUAAGGAAUAGAAAUUUACAACCAUU
Herpailurus yagouaroundi (jaguarundi) is the source of this 1489-nucleotide long non-coding RNA. RefSeq lists it as uncharacterized. The record is from RefSeq and is a predicted model, not a curated record. The transcript is spliced from 4 exons. NCBI's taxonomy places the organism in Eukaryota, Metazoa, Chordata, Mammalia, Carnivora, Felidae.